RNAcentral lists this ribosomal RNA (336 nucleotides) under Triticum aestivum (bread wheat). RNAcentral describes it as "partial small subunit ribosomal RNA". The record is from RNAcentral. Lineage: Eukaryota; Viridiplantae; Streptophyta; Magnoliopsida; Poales; Poaceae.
AUGGCAGCUAUGAAGAGGACCAACACGAGGAUCAUGUGCUUGGCCGCCCUCGCCGUCAUGGCCACCCUCCUCAUCUCCUCUGCCGAACAACAGACAUGCAGCCCGUACCCAAACUGCUUCAGCAACGAGGGAGGAUUGGCGUGCUCCCGCCUGUGCGCGGUGCUGAUCGGGCCUUCCGGCAAAGCCACCUGCCAAGGACACAAGAAUGUGCCUGCCGACAACAAGUGCUGCUGCGCGCCGCCUGCCGGCGGCAGGAAGGAGCGGCUGCGGACGAGCGCACCUCUUCGGACCUCGGAUGUUGCGCCUGCUGGUGCCACAAACGAAGCUGCUUCAUGA